RNAcentral lists this ribosomal RNA (432 nucleotides) under uncultured bacterium. Its description in RNAcentral is "partial 16S ribosomal RNA". It matches the Rfam family "Bacterial small subunit ribosomal RNA", at positions 29 to 507 of the family's 1533-position model. The record is from RNAcentral.
ACGAACGCUGGCGGCAUGCCUAACACAUGCAAGUCGAACGAGACCUUCGGGUCUAGUGGCGCACGGGUGCGUAACGCGUGGGAACCUGCCCUUAGGUUCGGAAUAACUCCCCGAAAGGGGUGCUAAUACCGGAUAAUGUCUUCGGACCAAAGAUUUAUCGCCUUUGGAUGGGCCCGCGUUGGAUUAGCUGGUUGGUAGGGUAAAAGCCUACCAAGGCGACGAUCCAUAGCUGGUCUGAGAGGAUGAUCAGCCACACUGGGACUGAGACACGGCCCAGACUCCUACGGGAGGCAGCAGUGGGGAAUAUUGGACGAUGGGCGAAAGCCUGAUCCAGCAAUGCCGCGUGAGUGAUGAAGGCCUUAGGGUUGUAAAGCUCUUUUACCCGGGAUGAUAAUGACAGUACCGGGAGAAUAAGCUCCGGCUAACUCCGUG